UUACUGCAGGGUAAUGGCUCACAAGCUUGCAGAGGUCCCUCUGGGCUUUUGGUGUGCUAUCGGUCUAUCUAUGAUAAAAGCAGACAGCUUCCACAAAAUGUCUCUAAAUUCAGCAUCUUCCACCUCCGACACUUUAAGACAUCAGCAGUCUUUAAUAAUGAAGUGCUAACAGUAAAUACGCCGCCCUUUGCAGAGUCUGUCACAGAGGGCGAUGUCAGGUGGGAAAAAGCCGUUGGUGAUGCAGUAAGUGAAGAUGAGGUGGUAUGUGAAAUUGAAACCGAUAAGGUUCGUAAUGUUUCUGACCAGCUAAUUUUGUUUCCUUUUUAGUUUCUGAACUGAUUGUGGUUGACGUGAUAAACAGCCUCCUGUAUAACUGCUGGUAUUUAAAUGAUAGAUGUUCCCAGGAUAUCCCAGCCCCAUUAUAUUUUCCUUCCAUGUGGCACUGUGUUACUCCGAUGUUGAUAGCCACUGUUUGAAAAUUAUGAUGAGAUGACACUUGCCCACUCUGUACAGUUCCUACCACCCCCAGAAAUAUCAAGGUGAAUGUCUGUGAUACCAGAAACACCUGUCCCCUGAACUAUUGCUUUCUUAAUCUCAUAUAGCCCAUCUGUACAGCUGAGUCAGCUGUGGUGCUGCACAAUUGGCUCUCGCAGCACUUCCAGAUCAAUCAUCACUCACUAGUAUUAAAAACUGAAUACUAGUUGGAAAGUGAGAUGCACUCUGAGGUCUUGAGCA
Rhincodon typus (whale shark) is the source of this 735-nucleotide long non-coding RNA. RefSeq lists it as uncharacterized. The transcript is spliced from 5 exons. NCBI's taxonomy places the organism in Eukaryota, Metazoa, Chordata, Chondrichthyes, Orectolobiformes, Rhincodontidae. The record is from RefSeq and is a predicted model, not a curated record.